Molecule: long non-coding RNA, 282 nt
Filed under: Lathyrus oleraceus (garden pea)
Lineage: Eukaryota; Viridiplantae; Streptophyta; Magnoliopsida; Fabales; Fabaceae
Description: Pisum sativum (pea) long non-coding RNA (PSAT_LNC039200)
Source: RNAcentral
UAUAGUUGAUCAACAUCAUCAAAAAAUAUUGAUAACAAUACAAAUCUUAAAUUGAUAAAUAAAAAUCAUAUAUUAAAUAAUCAAAAUCCUCGUAAGUAAACAUAUAAACAUCUUGAUAAUAACAAUUUAAAGCAAAAUAAAUCCUCAUUACAUUUGUUAAAUUUGUUAUAUUUUAAUAAUACUACAAAAAUAUAAUUGGGGUCUCAGAUAAUAGCUAUUUUAAUAGCCAUCAAAAUCUAAUUCCAUAUUACAUUAAAUUAUUGAACAGUUUUAAUUAAAAAA